Molecule: small RNA, 25 nt
Filed under: Arabidopsis thaliana (thale cress)
Lineage: Eukaryota; Viridiplantae; Streptophyta; Magnoliopsida; Brassicales; Brassicaceae
Description: ATSL240780
Source: RNAcentral
UGUUGUUUUUUUCUUUCUUCUUCUU